Molecule: ribosomal RNA, 253 nt
Filed under: uncultured Eubacteriales bacterium
Lineage: Bacteria; Bacillati; Bacillota; Clostridia; Eubacteriales
Description: uncultured Clostridiales bacterium partial 16S ribosomal RNA
Rfam family: Bacterial small subunit ribosomal RNA
Source: RNAcentral
UACGUAGGGGGCAAGCGUUAUCCGGAUUUACUGGGUGUAAAGGGAGCGUAGACGGCGGGGCAAGUCUGGAGUGAAAGGCCGGGGCCCAACCCCGGGACCGCUCUGGAAACUGCCCGGCUGGAGUGCGGGAGAGGUAAGCGGAAUUCCUAGUGUAGCGGUGAAAUCCGUAGAUAUCUGGAGGAACAUCAGUGGCGAAGGCGGCCACCUGGACCGGUAUUGACGCUGAGGCGCGAAAGCGUGGGGAGCAAACAGG